This 614-nucleotide ribosomal RNA is filed under the name uncultured bacterium. RNAcentral describes it as "bacterial SSU rRNA". It matches the Rfam family "Bacterial small subunit ribosomal RNA", at positions 789 to 1409 of the family's 1533-position model. The record is from RNAcentral.
GGUAGUCCACGCCGUAAACGAUGGGUACUAGGUGCUUGGGGGAGCGACCCCCUGGGUGCCGGCGCUAACGCAUUAAGUACCCCGCCUGGGGAGUACGGCCGCAAGGCUGAAACUCAAAGGAAUUGACGGGGGCCCGCACAAGCGGUGGAGCAUGUGGUUUAAUUCGACGCAACGCGGAGAACCUUACCUGGGCUUGAACUGUUUGGGCUAUCCCCAGAAACGGGGAGUUCCCUUCGGGGACCCAAGCAGAGGUGCUGCAUGGCUGUCGUCAGCUCGUGUCGUGAGAUGUUGGGUUAAGUCCCGCAACGAGCGCAACCCUCGUCCUGUGUUGCCAUUUUGGGACUCACAGGAGACCGCCAGCGAUAAGUUGGAGGAAGGUGGGGACGACGUCAAGUCAUCAUGGCCUUUAUGUCCAGGGCUACACACGUGCUACAAUGGGUGGUACAACGGGUUGCGAAGCCGCGAGGCGGAGCUAAUCCCUAAAAACCAUCCUCAGUUCGGAUUGCAGGCUGCAACUCGCCUGCAUGAAGCUGGAAUCGCUAGUAAUGGCGUAUCAGAAUGACGCCGUGAAUACGUUCCCGGGCCUUGUACACACCGCCCGUCACAUCACGAAA